UAGGGAAUCUUCCGCAAUGGGCGAAAGCCUGACGGAGCAACGCCGCGUGAGUGAUGAAGGUCUUCGGAUCGUAAAACUCUGUUAUUAGGGAAGAACAAAUGUGUAAGUAACUAUGCACGUCUUGACGGUACCUAAUCAGAAAGCCACGGCUAACUACGUGCCAGCAGCCGCGGUAAUACGUAGGUGGCAAGCGUUAUCCGGAAUUAUUGGGCGUAAAGCGCGCGUAGGCGGUUUUUUAAGUCUGAUGUGAAAGCCCACGGCUCAACCGUGGAUGGUCAUUGGAAACUGGAAAACUUGAGUGCAGAAGAGGAAAGUGGAAUUCCAUGUGUAGCGGUGAAAUGCGCAGAGAUAUGGAGGAACACCAGUGGCGAAGGCGACUUUCUGGUCUGUAACUGACGCUGAUGUGCGAAAGCGUGGGGAUCAAACAGG
Molecule: ribosomal RNA, 429 nt
Filed under: Actinomycetes bacterium
Lineage: Bacteria; Bacillati; Actinomycetota; Actinomycetes
Description: Actinobacteria bacterium partial 16S ribosomal RNA
Rfam family: Bacterial small subunit ribosomal RNA
Source: RNAcentral